UAAUAAAUGCAAGAUUCACCAGAUAUGACAUAUUUCAUUAGCUGAAAUCCUUCACAGGUGGGAAGGACAUUGCUGUCCAUUCCUACAGCACCCGUGACUGCUGUGACUGCCAGAUGCCACUGUCGGGGGUCUCUCAGGACAGACAUGGGGUUGUCCACGUACCGGUUUUCCAGACAUGCAGAAGACACUGAAGACGGUGUGUGCUUCCAGACCAUGGUGGGGCUGCACCUGACAGGCCAUGUCCCGAGGAGCCGGGUUGACUGUCAAGUACAGCUGAGCUUUACCCAGUAAGCCAUGCUUCGAAGCUAAAGAGAAAGAUGAAGCAGCGGUUUCACCCAUGAUGGAGAAUUACAGCAGCAUAGGAAUAAGUUUUUAUAGAUAAACCUUAUAGCAGGGGUUCUCAAAGUAGGGUCCCCAGACCAGCAGCAUCGGACUAACCUGGGAAUUUGUCAGAAAUGAAGAUUCUGGAGCCCCACCCUAGACCUGCUGACUCAGAAACUGAGACUCAGUGAUAGUUUUCACAUACCCUUAGGGGAUUCUGAAGUUCUGGGGUUUGAGAACCACUGCCUAUAUGUUCAUUAAUAUAACAAACACUCACUGGGUGGGGCAGGUACUAUCCUAGGCCCUGGGGAGACAGAAGUGUCUCCCUACCUGGGAGUCACAUGGCAACCACCCAGACAGAAACCGAAGCCUGAGGGAGAGAUGAUGCUAACAGACCCAUUACCCAGCAGAGCAAACUUUCUCCAUUCUCCUGGAUUCUCUCAAAACCUUAGCCACAUACACACGUACGUACAGCUUCGUUGAAUGUAUAGCACCAAUACAAUUUUAUAUUUUGUUUUAUUAACUAUAUUAAUAUCAUAACUAUUUUCCAUGUUGACAUAGAGCAUCCAAAAUCAUUGUUGUAAAUAGCAGCAUAAGAUUACAUGGAACAGAUAUACCCUAAUACGCACAAUUAUUAUCCCCAAUGAUUAAACAUUUUGCUUAUUUUCCAUUUUCUGUUAUUAUUGAUCACCCCAUAAUGAUUAUUCUCAUACAUAUAGUUUUUAAAUGUUUAAUGUAUUUGUCUUGAGAUGGAUUAUAGAAAUGAAAUUUACAUGUCAAAUGGUUUAAAAUCUUGAUGAUCAUCAUCCUCAUCGUAACAGCAGGUACCAUCUAUUGAGCCUCUGCUACACACCAGGUGCCCUGCUAGACACUGUUCCUGUAUUAUCUUAUUUAACAGUCACAUUAACCAUGGAAGACAGAUCUCAUAACAAAAGUAAA
RNAcentral lists this long non-coding RNA (1260 nucleotides) under Homo sapiens (human). RNAcentral's name for it is "HSALNT0122471". The record is from RNAcentral. Lineage: Eukaryota; Metazoa; Chordata; Mammalia; Primates; Hominidae.